Long non-coding RNA from Nematostella vectensis (starlet sea anemone), 970 nucleotides. RefSeq lists it as uncharacterized. The record is from RefSeq and is a predicted model, not a curated record. The transcript has 2 exons. NCBI's taxonomy places the organism in Eukaryota, Metazoa, Cnidaria, Anthozoa, Actiniaria, Edwardsiidae.
ACACCCUAGAAUAGAAAAAGAUGCAAGCAUCAAAUUAUCACUUUCAAUGUAAAAUAAUAUCUUCUAUGAUAUGGAUAAUUUCUAUUUAUUUACUGCACUGAAAAUGCGGAUUUUUUGUGUACUUUUUUAAAACCAUGAACAACAAAUAUUUAGAUCAUGUUGCAUUCAAUUGGUAAAAAAAAACGAUAUAUACAAAUGUCAACUGUUCAGGGUAUUACUGGUCGCACUGUAAUUUGCAAAAAAUUUCACUUUUCAUCGUACAAAAAUCAAAGAAUUCUAGCCUUAAAGUGUUUCUGAAGCGAAAAUCGUGUCAGGCUGUUCUUAGGCUUAUUAUAAAAUUCAAUUUUCGCUUAAUAUUAUAAAAGAAAAGUCAAAAUAAAAGAUUAUGAGGAACAUGACGCAAUUAUUCUUCAAAGAGAGGUAACAAGUGCGACAAAAAAUACAGCGAAAUUACGUCAUAGGCACCCCCCCCCCCCCGUGUUUCGUCACACGGUUGCUUACUACGCUGAAGGAGCCAUUUUGAAUCGAUCAUUGACCGAAAAGUUCACUAGUUUGCCCUACUAUUUGUUGCGUUUAUAUUCUUACAAUGUCUGAUUACAACAAAUAGUCUAGUAAAGAGUCAUAUUAAAUUCUUCGGGAGGCAACAGGAGCGAAUUUGGAUCGAAAGGAGCAGUGCAUUCCCUUGGAGCUGAACGGGUGAGAGUCGUUUGCACGAUGCAGGGAGAAAUUAGUGGAUUAUAAAAUGAUCUGUUGGAUCUACCUUCAGAGAGGAUAAUCACGGCUUCCAGGGCAGUUUUUCAGAAGUCUAGAACUUGUGAUGCUGGGCUUCUGUUGAUGUGCACUUGAGGGCCCAUGAGAAAGAGUAUUAAUAAACAUUCUUUAAUUUUGUAAGAAUCAUUGAGAGGCACAGUAAUGCUACAGGGUCUGUACUUGAUUUCAAUUCAACAUCAUCAUAUACAAGCUUUAGUGA